Podarcis lilfordi (Lilford's wall lizard) is the source of this 77-nucleotide non-coding RNA. NCBI's taxonomy places the organism in Eukaryota, Metazoa, Chordata, Lepidosauria, Squamata, Lacertidae. The record is from the annotation of a GenBank genome assembly.
ACCUGAAUGGUAGCUCAGUUGGAAGAGCAUGAGACUCUAAAUCUCAGGGCCAUGUGGUUUGAGCCCCACAUUGGGCU